AAGUCGUAACAAGGUUUCCGUAGUUCUCCGCGGAUUCCAACCAUAUUAGUCGAUAUGCCCUGAAAAGGGAAUAUUGGCAUACAUCGCUGGUCCAGAGGAUGUCCCUUCCGGGGACGAAUUCUGGGGCGAGGCUUGUCUCUGAGCCCGCCGAAACGCAUGCAAAGUGAUGGACCUUCGGCCAACCGAGGGUUUACGGUACAUGCUACCACUCGACGAUCCCCUAAGUCGAAGUGAUUUAGUGAGGUGAACCUGCGGAAGGAUCAUUAAUAGAGCAAUCUGGGCUGCUUUCGAGCACCCGGAACCUCUCCACCCCAUGUUUGUUGUUACCAAGUUGCUUUGGCGGGCCGAGCCUAGCUCCGCCGACUUAGGUCGGACGAGCGCCCGCCAGAGGUCAAUUAAAACUCUAUAAUUUUGAAGUCUGAGAAACUAUUUUAAAUAGCCUAAAACUUUCAACAACGGAUCUCUUGGUUCUG
Molecule: unclassified non-coding RNA, 473 nt
Filed under: air metagenome
Description: partial contains small subunit ribosomal RNA, internal transcribed spacer 1, and 5.8S ribosomal RNA
Source: RNAcentral